UACGUAGGGUGCGAGCGUUGCCCGGAUUUAUUGGGCGUAAAGGGCGCGUAGGCGGCUCGACACGUCCGUUGUGAAAUCGCCCGGCUCAACUGGGCGGGGUCAGCGGAUACGGUCGAGCUUGAGCAAGCUAGGGGGCAAUGGAAUUCCCGGUGUAGUGGUGGAAUGCGUAGAUAUCGGGGAGGAACACCAGAGGCGAAGGCGGCGACCUGGACAGGUACUGACACUAAAACUACGAAAAGCGUGGGGGAGCAAACAGG
RNAcentral lists this ribosomal RNA (257 nucleotides) under uncultured bacterium. RNAcentral describes it as "partial 16S ribosomal RNA". It matches the Rfam family "Bacterial small subunit ribosomal RNA", at positions 524 to 776 of the family's 1533-position model. The record is from RNAcentral.